UUGGAGGGCAAGUCUGGUGCCAGCAGCCGCGGUAAUUCCAGCUCCAAUAGCGUAUAUUAAAGUUGUUGCAGUUAAAAAGCUCGUAGUUGAAUUUCGGGAUCAGUUGAUCGGUCGUGCCUCGGUACGUACUGGUCAAAUUGAUUCCUACCUUCUGACGAACCACGAUGUCAUUAAUUUGGUGUCGUGGGAAAUCAGGACUGUUACUUUGAAAAAAUUAGAGUGUUUAAAGCAGGCUCGCGCUUGAAUACAUUAGCAUGGAAUAAUGAAAUAGGACGUUUGAUUCUAUUUUGUUGGUUUCUAGGAUCGACGUAAUGAUUAAUAGGGAUAGUUGGGGGCAUUAGUAUUCAAUUGUCAGAGGUGAAAUUCUUGGAUUUAUUGAAGACUAACUACUGCGAAAGCAUUUGCCAAGGAUGUUUUCAUUAAUCAAGAACGAAAGUUAGGGGAUCGAAGACGAUCAGAUACCGUCGUAGUCUUAACCAUAAACUAUGCCGACUAGGGAUCGGAUGAUGUUAAUUUUUUAAUGACUCAUUCGGCGCCUUACGGGAAAC
Molecule: ribosomal RNA, 548 nt
Filed under: uncultured Glomus
Lineage: Eukaryota; Fungi; Glomeromycota; Glomeromycetes; Glomerales; Glomeraceae
Also listed under: 1 other name
Description: SSU rRNA
Rfam family: Eukaryotic small subunit ribosomal RNA
Source: RNAcentral